AUCCUUCUGUAGUUCACCAGCAUGAUGAUUGAAUUUUCACGGACACGUGUGAGAUGUGCCGCCUCCAAAUUUUUUUUUACAACAGCACGUUACCCAUGUCACA
Molecule: small nucleolar RNA, 103 nt
Filed under: Macaca fascicularis (crab-eating macaque)
Lineage: Eukaryota; Metazoa; Chordata; Mammalia; Primates; Cercopithecidae
Description: Small nucleolar RNA U13 (ENSMFAG00000063210.1)
Rfam family: Small nucleolar RNA U13
Source: Rfam by way of RNAcentral